UGUAGGGAAGGGUCAGAGAAAGGAAUACUGAUUGUCUGUUAUUGCAAGGACGCUUUUAUGAAGAGGGGCAAGGACAUUUCUUUAGAUAAAGCAAACAAAAAAAUAAAUAAAUAAAAAUCUUUGAAACUAAUGGCGCUUUUCCUCUGGGUGUUACGACUCGGCACGCGUUUCCACUGCAGUUUAGUACCGCUUGAUUAUUCACAUGUCGUUAUAAUUGUGCCGCGUCUACUGCGGCGACUCCUGAAAAACUUUUGCAGCGUCACAAUGUGCCUACUUAUACUAUACGCUUAAAGUAUGUACUUUUUUGGUGAAGAAAAAGUACACACUUUUGAGUGUGUAGUAGAAGAGUAAGCAAGCUUUAGGACAUACUAUCACAUCAUACAAUUGCGUCUUUAACGGACUGCUCUGUCGCAUAAUUACACGCACCCUGUCACUGUAAACUGGCCUUGCAAUCAUCUUGUCACAGUUAACAUCCUCCACAUUUCAUUUCAUUUCGCCUAACUUUCUUCCAUAUAGGAGAGAAAAGAAGUAGCAAGUUGAUCUGCGAGCCACGGGUCUUCAUGCAGAUAACUCUGCUCAUAUUUUCUGCAUAAUGAUGCAUUUAAAAGUUAACGACCAAACGGAUGUUUAUAAAAGAUUACAUUGUUGUUGCAGAUUAAAUAUAACACAUAUAACAUUAAAUAAUUUUUUUUACCAGGUUAAAUGUUGAUUAUUAUUAUUAGUAACUCAAACCCCUUUAUCCUUUCUACUUAGCCGUCAGUCACGCGGAUCCACCAUGUUUGUAGUUUUUUAACGCUUUUUAUUCGUGUUUGUAGUUCUCAAACGAAUCAUUCGUCAAAGCGCAAUUGAUUGUUGAUAAUUGCAGAUAAGUGCGUUCGUUCCUUCGCUGGCUAUGUUGAUUUAAAUCUAGCAGUUUACACAUCACCUUUUGGUAAUGGUACAGUUCACUUGGAACGUCAGCCGAGAUGGUACUGAAAAAAGUACCAUGUACUGUACCCAGUGGAAAACCCCCCAAAAGUGCACCAUACCGAACCUACCAUGCAGUGGAAAAUCACCAGUUGCAAGACCUUGCUAUAGAGUGUCUUAAAUAAAUUCACUUUUUAGAAGUUUUCUUUUAAUUAAUCAAAUUCAUAGCAUGUAUAGGAAGCUUAAUAGUAAGCUUUGAUUUUUCACAAGGUUAUUGAAAGUUUUGUUGUAGUUCAUUUUCUGUGACAGUGAUGUGUGUAUCUAUUUAACCUUAAUCUUAUGUAAUACUUCAGGUACAAUUUGAU
This is a long non-coding RNA of Cyprinus carpio carpio, 1271 nucleotides long. The record is from Ensembl. Lineage: Eukaryota; Metazoa; Chordata; Actinopteri; Cypriniformes; Cyprinidae.